GAUGAAGAACGUAGCGAAAUGCGAUACGUAGUGUGAAUUGCAGAAUUCAGUGAAUCAUCGAAUCUUUGAACGCACAUUGCACCUCUCGGUAUUCCGGGAGGUAUGCCUGUUCGAGCGUCAUUUGUACUCUCAAGCUCUGCUUGGUGUUGGGUGUUUGUUCCGCCUCUGUGUGUGAACUCGCCUCAAAACAAUUGGCAGCCGGCGUACUUGUUUCGGAGCGCAGCACAUUUUGCGAUCCAGAUCAACGUACAGCGGCAUCCAAGAAGCCUUAUUUAACGCUCUUGACCUCGGAUCAGGUAGGGAUACCCGCUGAACUUAAGCAUAUCAAUAAGCGGAGGA
This 339-nucleotide unclassified non-coding RNA is filed under the name soil metagenome. Its description in RNAcentral is "partial contains 5.8S ribosomal RNA, internal transcribed spacer 2, and large subunit ribosomal RNA". The stretch from base 1 to 120 matches the Rfam family "5.8S ribosomal RNA", at positions 35 to 154 of the family's 154-position model. The record is from RNAcentral.